GUAGUUGUUCAGUUCAUGUCUUAGUGGU
RNAcentral lists this non-coding RNA (28 nucleotides) under Rattus norvegicus (Norway rat). Lineage: Eukaryota; Metazoa; Chordata; Mammalia; Rodentia; Muridae. The record is from RNAcentral.